AUGUCCUCCUCUCCCGGUCGGUCGUUUCCCCUGUCAAGGAAGCUAAAUUGUUCAAUGGAGGACCUACCGGAGGCUUUGCUGACAGAGAUUCUCAACAGGAUCACCAGGACAAGUGAUCUCAAUUAUCUUUCCCUUGUGUCAAAGCAGCUCUACAAGAUAGAGGGGAGUCAAAGGGGUGCUAUCCGUGUUGGUUCCGGUCUUUGCACUGCUACAAAAGCACCGACAUCAUUGUGCGCCCGGUUCCCAAAUCUGUGGAAAGUGGAUAUCGAUUACUCCGGUUGGGUACCUGGACAUGGAAAGCAGUUGGACAACAAAGGCCUUCUUGUGUUUUCAUCUCACUGUCCCUCGAUGAUUGACCUCACCUUAAGCUUCUGCUCAUGCAUCGAUGACUCUGGGCUUGCUUGUUUAGCGAAUUGCAAGAAAUUGGUGUCUCUCAGGCUGAAAUCCACACCAAAAAUAACUUCGAUUGGGCUUUUCUCGGUUGCAGUUGGUUGCACAAGUCUAUCUGCUCUCCACCUUAUUGGUUGCGAGAAAAUUGACAGUGUAGAGUGGCUGGAAUACCUUGGUAGGGAUGGGUCGCUGGAAGAGCUGGUAGUGAAGAAUUGCAAAGGUAUCAAUCAUCAUGACUUUCUAAAGUUUGGUUCAGGAUGGAUGAAGCUCCAGAAGUUUGAGUUUGAGAGCAAAAGAGGGAGAUAUGGCCUUCUUGAUCCAGGUGAUGUUGUCUAUGACUCCUUGUAUGAUGCUCAAAGCAUGGAUAUGUAUGAUUUCUGCUGCGAAAGUUUGAAGGAUUUAAGGUUGGCGCAUAUUAAAACUUGGCCAGAAGCAGGACUUCGAGUUCUCCUAGGGAAGUGUAAAGCAUUGGAGAAGCUUUGCCUUCAGUAUGUUCAUGCCCUAAAUGAUAAUGACAUUAUUGCAUUAUCUCGGAGCUGCAGCAACCUUAAAAGAAUCUCACUUUGGCUCAACCUGCAGCGCUACUCUAGUGAUGUUAGCUAUUGUGAGACCAGGACGUCAUUUACUGAUAACAGCCUUUACGCUCUAGCCCUCAACUGUCGCAUGCUUCAGAUGAUAGACCUCAGCUUUACAGAAUGUGAUGCCGACUGGCCAUCAGAAAUAGGAUUCACACAAGAGGGUUUUCUGGUGCUCAUUAAGUCCUGCCCAAUUCGUGUUCUUGUGCUCAACAACGGCAACUUCUGUGAUGACGAGGGGAUGAAGGCCCUCUCAUCCUCGCCUCAUCUGGAGACACUCGAGCUUAUAUUGUGUCGUGCGGUAACUGAUGUUGGGAUGCGCUUCAUUGCGCACACCCCAUGCUUGAGUAAUCUCACACUUCGGAUGUGUCCUAACGUCACUGAUGUGGGAGUGGCUGAACUGGAACAUGCACAGAUGUUAAGAGUCUUUGGUCAUCGAGUCUUGUGGUGA
RNAcentral lists this ribosomal RNA (1416 nucleotides) under Triticum aestivum (bread wheat). Its description in RNAcentral is "partial small subunit ribosomal RNA". Lineage: Eukaryota; Viridiplantae; Streptophyta; Magnoliopsida; Poales; Poaceae. The record is from RNAcentral.